ACGAUCUUACUUGAGCAGGAUAUGUUCUAUAGGCUCGUGUCGUUGCAUCCUUUAACAGUAAGGAGGCAAGCACUCUAAUUUUGGACCCAUUCUUUACCAGUCUGGUUGAUGAAUCAUGGCUUCAGGGCGAGAGCGUGAUUAACAGCCAGGAUCCACUCGUUAAUUUUGGAUCUGACGGUUGUAGAUGAUUGUCCCUGGCCUGUAUUGCUGCAAGUUGUUGGAUGGCCUGGAAGCUGUCUGACAGACU
RNAcentral lists this small nucleolar RNA (247 nucleotides) under Oryza punctata. Its description in RNAcentral is "snoRNA Plant_U3". It matches the Rfam family "Plant small nucleolar RNA U3". Rfam says of the family: Small nucleolar RNAs (snoRNAs) are involved in the processing and modification of rRNA in the nucleolus. There are two main classes of snoRNAs: the box C/D class, and the box H/ACA class. U3 snoRNA is a member of the box C/D class. The record is from Rfam by way of RNAcentral. Lineage: Eukaryota; Viridiplantae; Streptophyta; Magnoliopsida; Poales; Poaceae.